This 459-nucleotide ribosomal RNA is filed under the name Solemya velum (Atlantic awning clam). Its description in RNAcentral is "partial 18S ribosomal RNA". It matches the Rfam family "Eukaryotic small subunit ribosomal RNA", at positions 443 to 901 of the family's 1831-position model. The record is from RNAcentral. Lineage: Eukaryota; Metazoa; Mollusca; Bivalvia; Solemyida; Solemyidae.
ACCCACUCCUGGCACGGGGAGGUAGUGACGAAAAAUAACAAUACGGGACUCGUUCGAGGCCCCGUAAUUGGAAUGAGUACACUCUAAAUCCUUUAACGAGGAUCUAUUGGAGGGCAAGUCUGGUGCCAGCAGCCGCGUAAUUCCAGCUCCAAUAGCGUAUAUUAAAGUUGUUGCAGUUAAAAAGCUCGUAGUUGGAUCUCGGGUUUGGGCUGGCGGUCCCUAGCGCGNUUACUGCCACGUCCCGANNNNCCUACCUGCCGGCCACCNUUGAUGCUCUUGACUGAGUGUCUCGGGCCGACCGGAACGUUUACUUUGAAAAAAUUAGAGUGUUCAAANNANNNNNNNNNNUCGCNUGAAUAAUGGUCGAUGGAAUAAUGGAAUAGGACCUCGGUNCUAUUUUCGCGAGGUUCGGAACUGGAGGUAAUGAUUAAGAGGGCAGGACGGGGGCAUUCGAUUACC